RNAcentral lists this non-coding RNA (21 nucleotides) under Arabidopsis thaliana (thale cress). Lineage: Eukaryota; Viridiplantae; Streptophyta; Magnoliopsida; Brassicales; Brassicaceae. The record is from RNAcentral.
UACCUGUCUCGGCUAAUGCCU